Ceratotherium simum simum (southern white rhinoceros) is the source of this 161-nucleotide non-coding RNA. The record is from RefSeq and is a predicted model, not a curated record. NCBI's taxonomy places the organism in Eukaryota, Metazoa, Chordata, Mammalia, Perissodactyla, Rhinocerotidae.
AGUGGAAGCAUGGUCAUCGAUAUCUUCACCCUGGGAAGGCAACAGUACCUAAGACAGAAAUUUGGGGAAAACUAGCCAAGAUGUACAAGACCACACCAGAUGUCGUCUUUGUAUUUGGAUUCAGAACCCAUUUUGGUGGUGGGAAGACAACAGGCCUGACU